Molecule: long non-coding RNA, 475 nt
Organism: Drosophila biarmipes
Lineage: Eukaryota; Metazoa; Arthropoda; Insecta; Diptera; Drosophilidae
Exons: 2
Source: RefSeq, a predicted model, not a curated record
AGUAGGUCUUGGAAAUCCUUUUUUAGCUGUCAAGCCCAUGUACGCAUGUAAGUUUUGGGCUUACCUCAUUCCCAUUUCGACCGUUGUGUAGCUCAGUAAAUUUGUUGUUGUGUCUCAUAUUAUUUUUGUUCGGCUAGAAAAACGUGACUUGUACGAAUUAACCAUGUGCUGUGGACCUUGUGGAUCGUGCUGCGGACCCUGCGGAUAUAGCUGCGCUCCCUGCGGACCCUGCUGUGGACCGUGUGGACCAUGUUGUAGACCGUGUGGACCCUGCUGCGGACCUUGUGGACCGUGUUGCGGGCCAUUUGGAAGUUGCUGUGGAGGUUGUUGGUGCUGAAUGCCCAACAUGAGCAGUUGAAUCCAUUCAAGAUGCCAAUGCUAAUUCUAAUUCACGCACACUAUGGUUAACCCAACACCUAAAUGUCAAAGCCACAAAUAAAAUAUGAAGACUGUGCAACAGUAAAAAUAUCACAAA